GGGCGCGUAGCUCAGCGGGAGAGCAUUCCGUUCACACCGGAAAGGUCACUGGUUCAAUCCCAGUCGCGCCCACCA
Molecule: transfer RNA, 75 nt
Filed under: alpha proteobacterium BAL199
Lineage: Bacteria; Pseudomonadati; Pseudomonadota; Alphaproteobacteria
Also listed under: 3 other names
Description: tRNA-Val
Rfam family: tRNA
About the family: Transfer RNA (tRNA) molecules are approximately 80 nucleotides in length. Their secondary structure includes four short double-helical elements and three loops (D, anti-codon, and T loops). Further hydrogen bonds mediate the characteristic L-shaped molecular structure. tRNAs have two regions of fundamental functional importance: the anti-codon, which is responsible for specific mRNA codon recognition, and the 3' end, to which the tRNAs corresponding amino acid is attached (by aminoacyl-tRNA synthetases). tRNAs cope with the degeneracy of the genetic code in two manners: having more than one tRNA (with a specific anti-codon) for a particular amino acid; and 'wobble' base-pairing, i.e. permitting non-standard base-pairing at the 3rd anti-codon position.
Source: RNAcentral